UGGGGAAUUUUGGACAAUGGGCGCAAGCAUGAUCCAGCCACGCCGCGUGCAGGAUGAAGGCCUUCGGGUUGUAAACUGCUUUUGUACGGAACGAAAAGGUGCCUUCUAAUAAAGGGCGCUCAUGACGGUACCGUAAGACUAAGCACCGGCUAACUACGUGCCAGCAGCCGCGGUAAUACGUAGAGUGCGAGCGUUAAUCGGAAUUACUGGGAGUAAAGCGUGCGCAGGCGGUUUUGUAAGACAGAGGUGAAAUCCCCGGGAUCAACCUGGGAUCGGCCUUUGUGACUGCAAGGCUGGAGUGCGGCAGAGGGGGGUGGAAUUCCGCGUGUAGCAGUGAAAUGCGUAGAUAUGCGGAGGAACACCGAUGGCGAAGGCAAUCCCCUGGGCCUGCACUGACGCUCUUGCACGAAAGCGUGGGGAGCAAACA
This 427-nucleotide ribosomal RNA is filed under the name uncultured bacterium. Its description in RNAcentral is "bacterial SSU rRNA". It matches the Rfam family "Bacterial small subunit ribosomal RNA", at positions 355 to 774 of the family's 1533-position model. The record is from RNAcentral.